Amphimedon queenslandica is the source of this 305-nucleotide long non-coding RNA. RefSeq lists it as uncharacterized. Lineage: Eukaryota; Metazoa; Porifera; Demospongiae; Haplosclerida; Niphatidae. The transcript is spliced from 4 exons. The record is from RefSeq and is a predicted model, not a curated record.
CCAAGUCUUCUCUCUAUUAAUAAAUUAUUCAGGACCUUCAAACUAACUACUGUACAGCAACUGAACCAAAAUCUGAUAUUAGUUAUAAUCAGUUGGGUACAAUAUACAGUGUUGGAUACUUUGAUCUUAAAAAUAUUUAUUACACAAUCACUUAUCAACAACACUAAAGAAAAAUAAUGAAGCUGAUGUUAUUACUAAUCUUGAUGAUAUAUACAAUAUUGGUACGUUUGUACAGAUCACUGAGUUUCAAGAGUUCAAUAAUAGAAUGAGAUUAAUAAUACAAGGACACAGACUAAAAUUUGAGC